This 465-nucleotide ribosomal RNA is filed under the name uncultured bacterium. RNAcentral's name for it is "partial 16S ribosomal RNA". It matches the Rfam family "Bacterial small subunit ribosomal RNA", at positions 28 to 507 of the family's 1533-position model. The record is from RNAcentral.
GACGAACGCUGGCGGCGUGCUUAACACAUGCAAGUCGAACGGAAAGGCCCUGCUUGCAGGGUACUCGAGUGGCGAACGGGUGAGUAACACGUGGGUGAUCUGCCCUGCACUUCGGGAUAAGCCUGGGAAACUGGGUCUAAUACCGGAUAGGAGCCAUUUUUAGUGUGAUGGUUGGAAAGUUUUUUCGGUGUAGGAUGAGCUCGCGGCCUAUCAGCUUGUUGGUGGGGUAAUGGCCUACCAAGGCGGCGACGGGUAGCCGGCCUGAGAGGGUCGACGGCCACAUUGGGACUGAGAUACGGCCCAGACUCCUACGGGAGGCAGCAGUGGGGAAUAUUGCACAAUGGGCGCAAGCCUGAUGCAGCGACGCCGCGUGGGGGAUGACGGCCUUCGGGUUGUAAACUCCUUUCGCUAGGGACGAAGCUUUUUGUGACGGUACCUAGAUAAGAAGCACCGGCUAACUACGUG